Molecule: non-coding RNA, 30 nt
Filed under: Homo sapiens (human)
Lineage: Eukaryota; Metazoa; Chordata; Mammalia; Primates; Hominidae
Source: RNAcentral
CCAGAAUGUCCUUAACUCAGCAUCUCCAGG